Physeter macrocephalus (sperm whale) is the source of this 727-nucleotide long non-coding RNA. RefSeq lists it as uncharacterized. The record is from RefSeq and is a predicted model, not a curated record. The transcript is spliced from 3 exons. Lineage: Eukaryota; Metazoa; Chordata; Mammalia; Artiodactyla; Physeteridae.
UCAAGGAGAUAGGGGAGAUCACCUAAGCAAAUGUGCAGGGGGAGAGGGUAAAAGGGCCAUGGGAUAAAAGCCUUACCGAGUAGGUAUUGGGAGAGGUCCUGGGAGCCAUACUGAGAGAAAAAUCGAGAGAGCACAGUGAAAGAAGACAAGGGAAGAAAGAGUUCUUUGCUCCGUUUAUACUGGGUUCUAAAUUCCUUAACCUUGUGUUCACUUUUGUCAAAAUUGUCUUUAGUGCUUAAACACUGUCCUUUCCUUGUCCCCAUGCACCAAAUUAAGAAGGUGUGGGUUUUAAAUCUGAAAAUUGGUCAUCACAGCAUUCAAAGGUUCAAGUAUGUGGAGGAGACCAAACUGAAAAGAAAGCAUCAUAGGUUUUAGACUGAAACAAAUCAGGGCUAACCAGUAUCCUAAGGUAAUGAAGUGACUGCAGCAGCUCCAGCCCUCACAUCUGUCUUCUACACCAUCCAGAAGAGAGAAAAACUUGUUACAGAAUUCCUAAUAAGAGGCCUGAGAUGCACCCCAAUUGGAGCAGUGGAGGCCGCCUGCUCUGCUUUGGACCACGCACAGCGUUGUGGAGACAGGAAAAGCCUGCUGUAGCGUGGCCUGGGCAGAGGUUUGUUCUCUGGGGCCAAGGGAAGAUUCAGCUUCUCUGGAAGCACAGAGAUUAUAAGACAGAAAGCAGGACUGCUGGGAAGCACAGAAUCGAUGAGGAGGAGGCCGCAGAGUCCAC